UACUGUCUGCACUUAUAUAUAUGGAAACUGAAGCUCAGGGAAGUUAUGUUGCCUCUCUGGGGUCACUCAGCCUGUAGUUCCCCUGAGUGUUCCCAAGCCUGGACUAAGACCUCCCAGAACACCACACUGGCUUCUCUUGCACAGCGUCCCUAGGACUUUGCCCAGAAAAUGAUGUCAUAAAACAACUGGUUUUUGGCCAAAUUCAUUAUGGUGCAUUUCCCUCAAGGAACGUACCAGUAAGAGCACAUUAUGCCCGGGUGAGAAGUAGCCCAGCUUCUGAAGUCUGGCUGGCAUCCUCUAAGAGGUGGCCCGGUCUUCUCAGCUCUUGCAGAAGCUGAGCCUGUUAGGUAAACACCCGGAUGUCGGCUCGGGUGUGGGAGCAAAUGAUCGAUGAAGGAACAUUCGAAAGCAGAAUGGAUCUCCCAGAGCAGGCCCUAAGCUUCCUGUGUUUACAGGCCUCCAAAUGAAAUCACCUGGCUGUUUAUAGGAGUCUUAGUGCUGAUGAAAAGACAGUUACACUCCAAACUUCUCCCUGCCAAAGGAGAAAAGUUCCAGGUUCUUUAAAAAGUGUCUGAAUGUAGAGAAAAGCAGGAAGAAAAGCUGGUUGCUGUUUGCCCCAAAGCUUCAGUGGAUGGAGAACUGAAUGUUAUCUUCCAGGUACCCUGAAGCAAUUACCUACUGGGAGACGUGGGAGGAACCCACUCUGUAGGAGCAGGGGCCACCGGUAAUGUGAUACGUGGUUGUUGUGUGUGUAAAGGGCUAAUACUUUUGACAGCCAGCAUCCUAAAGGGGUGUAGCAAGUCAUUUGAAAUUUGUACACAGACUGCCCUAUCCAUUACGCAUCGCCCAUAUCCUACCCAUAAUCUCCCAAGGCAGAUAUGCUAUUACACUCAGCGGGCCAAGGUCUGCCUCGGCUUAUAUACACACAACUCCCACUGACUCUGUGUCACGAAGCCACUUCAAUGGGACUUCUCAGCGGCAUAAAUUUAGCCCGGGACCGUCACAACCACAGCGGGCGCAGCUAAACAGAGAGCCCUGGCUGUGUGUUAAAAAGGCUGAGGAAGAACAAAAAAGCUGCCAGUUUUCAUAAGAAAUCUUACCCCUCGAGCAUUCAGAACUGUAGCCUGCCGCCUGCCGCACUGUCCUCAUCCUGCAACCUGCCGAUCCCAAGCUGGGACUUGGAAGAAGCAAAAAACAGUGUGGGCGUUAAAAAAAAACCAAAAACAAACAAACAACAAAAAAAACCCACCCCGGUCUGCUACAGGGCAUAAAAUGAUGCUUUGCAUCCAACCUCAUGAUGUGAGGGAAGAAUUCCCCAUCGGUGCGCCUCAGAACAUUCAUUGAUCAAAAUGUAAAGGAACAUCUGGGAACCAAGGACCCUCUUUAAAUAUAGUAUAUUUAAAAUACAUAAGGCAAAGGUACAAAGAUUCCCCGAUUUUUAAAGUUACUGGUUUAUCUAUUUGAGUCACAUGGGGUAAUGGGUGUUCCGAUAAGUAACAUAAUAUCGUGAGAAUUGCCCUGUUGGUUACUUCAUGGGGCCUUCCACCAUGUUCACUAACGUGAUUCUCUGGGAGCUCUUUCUUGGUCUUUCAGACGUCCCCACACCAGACUUUAUAAGCAAUCAGGCAUCACUGAUCUCAAGCAUGAAAUAAAGGUCAGGAUUUUAAUUUCGACUCCGAGUCCUUGCCUUUGCCAACAACGAAGUCUACUACUCCUGCACGUGGAAAACGCUGUAGUCUGGGUGAUGCCUCAGUGAAAUUCUACUUUGGAGAACUGCUCUUGGUCCUGCACCAUGGCUGUGAGCGGAUACGGGAAGAGCACUAGAGGUCGCUGCUGGGGAUUUUAAUGGGAAUCUAUCCUACACGAAUGUCUUCCUCACCAGCCUGGUCCAUGGGAUGGGCCCUCAGAUGCUGAAUGAGUCCAGCUCUGAUUUGUGCCUGUUCUUUGACUCCUGCAUUGUGACCGAGCUUGGAGAAGCAGCUGGACCAGCCUUAUUCAUGAGAGCAACUUGGGAGAGAUUUCUCCUUGGACAGUUUUAUGCGGAUGAGUCGGGGGUUAGAGGUUCUCUUCUUAGAAAAAUGCUCACACAGACUUCAGAUGAAUUUCCGGGACUCCUCAGGACUUGUUUCAACAGUCUUAAAGAGGGGUCAUCAGGACGCUCGUGUGGAAGGGGCAAGGAAAAGCCUCUUUUGGGUUACCCUGAGUCAGAAAAUUUCCAUUUCAACAUUGUCAAUCGCUCACCUUUUAUGUGAGGUAAAUUCACUAUCACAGACCGAAGUGUUGCCUUUCAUUUGUCUUUCUCAUUCUUUCUUUCUUUCUUUCUUUCCUUCCUUCCUUCUUUCCUCUUCCUCCCUCUCUUCCUUCUUUUUUCCUUCCUUCCCCUUUCUUUCUUUCUUUCUUUCUUUGCCUUCUUCUUUUUUCUUUUUCUUUCUUUCUUCCCACAAACCCAGGUAUUUAGGUCUCUGGCAAAACCGCACAAACCAAGAGUUCCUCCUCCAAUGAUGCCUUUCAGAGCUCAGGUGAUACGCCUCAUUGGGUUACACCUUCCAUGUUUUGUGGUCAGAUGUGGGCUGUGUCAUUCUACUUCACUCCACCUUGCAAGAAAAUAUUUAUGUAUUAGCCUCCCCAGGUCGCAUUUCCUUUGGGAUUGCUCCUGACUACGCCAUCUCCAUGCCAGCGGCGGGCAGUCGCGAGGCCGACCUUCACGGGACCGCUGGGCGCGUCUGCAGCAAAGAGGAAUCUGCUCCUUCCCCCUCGGACUUCACUGAGCCGGAAAACUACGAGAAUGUUCUUUGUCUCACGAUGUGGGGAAUGUUCUUUCGUUAGCAGUUCAGACAGUGAUACAAUUUCUUCAGAGCCUUGUCUACACCUGUGUAAGGGCAAUAAAGAUGAAAAAGAAAAAGUGCAUACCACACAUCACCAAGAAUCAACGGUUGUGCCUGGCAGUAUAACCGAGAAAGACUUUGGACGGUAUUAGGAGCAAUUUUCCCUUCCACACCUGCAGAAAUGCACUGACAUUAAACACACAUGUACCAAGGGCACGUGUGCAAGGCUCAGUCUUAGACGGAUGUGACCAGUGGUUGGACGAGACCUUUGGAUGAGAUUCUCUCAGGACUCCAAUGUGCUGAGGUUGGGAAAUGCUCAGGCAUCCUCCAGGCACGGUUGGCUGUGUUGCUAAUGGGAUUACCGCUGGCCUGAUCUCAUUCCAUUAAAUAUUUUCAUCAUCAGGAGGGAGAAAAUUAUUGUUCACCGUUCCCAAAAUGGUAACAUUUUCAGGGUUAGUCCACUGAAAACAUCUACUGAAGGGAGUCCAGUUAACUACAUGCAAGAAUGAACUCCUCAAGGACCAGCAAAAGGUCAGUUGGAAAUGGGAAAUGCACAAGAGAUUAUGGCGGACUGAGAAGAUGGGCUCUGAUGACCCGGGCUCUUCUUCUGACUUUACAGCCUUCUUGAUGGGCGAUGUUAGAUAAGUUAGCUCACCUCUCUGUGCUUCAGCUUUCUUCUCUGGGCAAAGAGUUAGAUGAAAGGAGGCAACUGAUUCUGUUAGAAUCUCUCCUGGUAGGAGCAGAAAUAUUUUUGUUGUUCCCCAAUGUACUCCAAAUGCCCAGAGGGGUUGUCUGCACAGAGUCGGUGCUCCUUGUUUGUUGAAUGAAUAGCUUCCUUCCAGAGUGACAGAAAAUACAGAAGCCUUUCUCUAAGCUCCCUUUGCAAGUGUCUUCACGUUCUCAGAGAGUGAGCCUUCACUGGAACGUUCUUAUCGCUGUUUUAACAGUCAGAUGGCCCCAGGGUUUUGUUUACCAUGCCUGACAAAAACCGAGUGGCACAGUUAAAGGUCUAAACGCUCUGUGGACUUUUACAUCAUCUGAAGUGUUUAUUGACUCGAACGGAAGUAGAUGCAAAUAUUUGAAGCUUCAACCAAGUCGGGUUUUUUUUUAAUUUUACUAUUUACAAAACAAGAUAUUUUAUGGAUGUAAUUUAUACAUUGAGUGGAAGAGGGCUAUUCCUAAUAUUAUCUUUAUCUUCUAGACAUAAAUAACAAACAACUCCAGUAAUCAAAAUUUACUACAAUUGUAAUAGAUUUUGGCAGAGUUUAUGUAUUGCAGGCAAAGCUAACAUAACACCAACUUCCAAGGAUAUAGGCCAGGAUUUUUAGUUUGGCUUUGUUAAAUAGAAAAAAAAAAUCUACUACUGUAUUUUCAGGUUUUACUACAUUCAAGAGAUUAAUUUUCAUAAAUAAAAUACUUUAUGCCGGCUUCUCAUCAGAAAGUUGAAAUUAUCUGAGGCAAUGUAACCACUAAAAACUUGUAUACUAUGAAAAUAUUUCAAUAAUUAAUGCAUGCUUCAUCUAGAGUAAUUGACAGGAGGUCAUAAACGUAAUGGGCCAUCUGUGUUUGAUUUGUACGAGAAAAUGCUUAAAGGGAUAGGCAGGUAAUUCAAGCUUCUCUGGCAAGAAGAUUUGUUCCAACUUCUCCAAGUAGCAGAGCCAUUUACUAAAGGGGUUUUCCUUUCUUAAAGUCUUUUCCAGAUUUCUUCUGGAGCUAUGCACUUCUCACUGCUACUCAUUCUAAUGUAACAAUCUCCUUUAGAGUUUUGGUGUAUAUGUGGAUCACGGCCAUCUCAACAAUUAAUGCUUGGCUCUCCUAACCAUUUCAAUAGCAACUUGAAAGCCAUAUGUCUGAUUAAAAAACAAAACAAAACAAAACAGAGGCUCACUUCAAUGCUAUGACUUUACCAUUCAUUCUGCUCAGUUUGACCACUUCAAAAAUUAGUUUUGUAAUUUUUCCUCAACUGUCAGGAAGCCAACAACCUUGCCUAUAUAUCUGUACACAAAGAGUAAUAGGACCACUAGGACUGUUAGUAAGAUUUCUGUAAUUCACUCCUGUGGGAGUGGACCAGAAUCACAAUAUUUCAAGACACAAAAUGGUCUUGGUAGACAUCAAGGAGAUUCUAGAGUUCUCUGGAAACCAGAGAGUGCUGAAUAAUCGCCUGUCCUGAGAUCCAGACCCACAAAUUCAUUCAAAAACACACAUUCAGCUGGAAUUGGCUGAGAAUUUGUCAUCUGUCAGGUAUUGUGUGAAGCGAUGAUUAUGUUGAAAGCCACCUAUCUGAUUGGCUGAACUAAAGUAACCAAUAAAGAUAAACCAACAAGGUCCCUGAAUUCAUGGAUCUUACUUUCUAGUAAACGAACAUUUUCCUUAUAUAUCUCAUAGAUACCAUAAACGCCAUGCCUGGAAAAUGAAAUGUGCUAUCUCCCCAAACUACUUGUGCUGGAAAAAUCUGUUUCUCCUCCUGUAUGCCCCGAUUCAAGAAAAUGUGGCACCAUCUUCUUGGUUCCUCAAGGCAAAACGUUAGGAUUAUCCCAGGCUCUUCUCCUCUUUUCUCUUCACCAAAACCAUUAACAAGUUCUGUCUCUGCUAACAACUUAGAACUAUUUGACCCUGCUUCCUUUUUAUCAUCCCUAACUCUGACACCCUUAAUUCAGUUCUGUG
Molecule: RNA transcript, 5489 nt
Organism: Mustela lutreola (European mink)
Lineage: Eukaryota; Metazoa; Chordata; Mammalia; Carnivora; Mustelidae
Exons: 9
Source: RefSeq, a predicted model, not a curated record